AAAAAUUUGAAAACAAAAAAAAUCAAUGGUUUUGAAAUGAUGGAAAACAUGAAAGGAUUAAAAACGUAAAUAACCCAUCAAUGCCUAAAACCCAUUUCAAAUCCUAAUUAAAAUCCCUACUCCAUUUGUAACAGCAGCAGCCGCAUUCAUCCUCUCCCCUGCUCUUCACGCCUAAACUUCCCCUUUCAAUCUUCGAUUCAGACGAAGCAUAGCAAGGGCAUCGACGGCGAACCAGCACUGGUAAGAACCUCUUCUCUUCCUCUUUACUUUCGUUUUGCACACCCAGGAAAAUAAAAAACAAAGAAAUAACAAAGAAAGCGAUAAAAAAAUGAAGAAAAUCACCUUCAAAAUCAGACUGCUAUAUUUUAUUCCCUUUUGUACUUCGGUUUACACUUGAUUUCUUUCUUUCUUUUUUGUUUCAAUCUGCCCUCCAAAAAAAAAAGAAAAAACUCUUGAAAAUGGAUCCAUUUUUAUAUCCAAUCCCCCCAGAAAAAACAAACCAUAUUUUCCUAUAAUCCUAUUGCCUCCCUGCUGUUCGUAGCUUGUUGCAGGUACCACUAGUGAGAAGACGUGUGCAGCGUGCGCAGAGGCUACUGAACGUGGGCAGUUGCUGCGACGUGGGGCAUGUGGCGCCGGUUUGCUGCUAACCUGUGUUUGGCUAAUUUGGGCUAGUGCUAUUGGGCUGAAUGGUAUUGGGUCAUUUGGAUUUGGAUUAUUUGUAAAAAUGAACUGUUUAUUGUAUUUAUUAUUUUUUGUGGUCUAUUUAUUUGGGUCCGGACUAAAAUGGACUAUUACAUACAUGUAAAUAGAUUUUUAAACAAACAUUAAAAUAGAUCUUAUUCUAUUGAAUCAUUUAUUUUUCAUAUACAUGUAAACAUGAUACAUAUAUAUUUUUUGAGAUUUUUUUAAGUAUAAUGAUUUAAUUCGCCUCCAAUUUUAUAAAAAUAUUAUUUUAAUUCUUGAUAUAAAUUUUCGUUUUUUAGUUUUUAAAUUUUUUUUGUCAAAUCACUUUAAAAUAAUAAAAAAAUUAAUGUUUUUAACUUUGUUAAUGUUGCAUAC
This 1059-nucleotide long non-coding RNA is filed under the name Gossypium barbadense (sea-island cotton). RNAcentral's name for it is "long non-coding RNA (GBAR_LNC018598)". Lineage: Eukaryota; Viridiplantae; Streptophyta; Magnoliopsida; Malvales; Malvaceae. The record is from RNAcentral.